AUCUAAAUAGCUUAAAUAGAGUGUUACAUUGAAGUCGUAAAGGUGAAUUUCUUUAGAUA
RNAcentral lists this transfer RNA (59 nucleotides) under Gammarus pulex. RNAcentral describes it as "tRNA-Phe". Lineage: Eukaryota; Metazoa; Arthropoda; Malacostraca; Amphipoda; Gammaridae. The record is from RNAcentral.